This 475-nucleotide ribosomal RNA is filed under the name unidentified nematode Sourhope farm. Its description in RNAcentral is "SSU rRNA". It matches the Rfam family "Eukaryotic small subunit ribosomal RNA", at positions 58 to 529 of the family's 1831-position model. The record is from RNAcentral. Lineage: Eukaryota; Metazoa; Nematoda.
UCUAAGUAUAACCUGCCAGACAGGGAAACUGCGUACGGCUCAUUACACCAGCCUUAAUUUACUUGACCUUGACAACCUACUUGGAUAACUGUGGUAAUUCUAGAGCUAAUACAUGCACCAAAGCUCCGAUCCUCGCGGAGAGGAGCGCAUUUGUUCGCCACAAAACCAAGCGCCCAUCUGGGCGUCCAGUGCUGAACCAGGACCACUCAGCUGAUCGCACGGUCUUGUACCGGCGACGUGUCUUUCAAGUGUCUGCCUUAUCAACUUUCGAUGGUAGUGUACCUGACUACCAUGGUUGUGACGGGUAACGGAGGAUAAGGGUUCGACUCCGGAGAAGGGGCCUGAGAAAUGGCCACUACGUCUAAGGAUGGCAGCAGGCGCGCAAAUUACCCACUCUCAACGCGAGGAGGUAGUGACGAGAAAUAACGAGACCGUUCUCAUACGAGGCCGGUUAUUGGAAUGGGUACAAUUUACA